Molecule: long non-coding RNA, 279 nt
Organism: Empidonax traillii (willow flycatcher)
Lineage: Eukaryota; Metazoa; Chordata; Aves; Passeriformes; Tyrannidae
Exons: 3
Source: RefSeq, a predicted model, not a curated record
GCUAAGAAGAGUCCUGGUAUUGUUGAAAUCCAAGCACAAAUUUCUGGCCUUGGCUGCUCUUCGCUUUAUGAGGAGGAUGAUUGCCAUGAAAAAUGACGUUUACAACCGUUACAUCAUCCAAUGUAACCUCUUUGAGCCGAUUAUAAACGCUCUGCUGGACAAUGGGACUAGGUACAACUUGUUCAAUUCUGCCUUGCUGGAGCUGUUUGAUUUCAUCCUGGUGGAAGACAUCCAGUCCCUUAUUGAACAUCUAGUUGAGAACUUCUCUGCUAAGCUGGA